GCCCUGGUAGUGUAGUUCGGCCUAGCAUGAAGCCCUGUCGAGGCUUCGACCCGGGUUCAAAUGUGGUUGUGGUGUAUUACAAUAAAAAACAAUAAAAAAAAUCACAAUCAAAGAAAAUCCCGGCCAGGGCG
Molecule: transfer RNA, 131 nt
Filed under: Nanobdellota archaeon
Lineage: Archaea; Nanobdellati; Nanobdellota
Description: tRNA-Asp
Source: RNAcentral